This 247-nucleotide long non-coding RNA is filed under the name Capsicum annuum. RNAcentral's name for it is "long non-coding RNA (CANN_LNC001626)". The record is from RNAcentral. Lineage: Eukaryota; Viridiplantae; Streptophyta; Magnoliopsida; Solanales; Solanaceae.
UUUGUCAUUUUUCAGUUGAAACUGAAGGGAUAUAUAAACAUCAAAUAUUAUUAUUAUAUUAUUAAUAGUUAGCUUCUCAUUUUGCCAACUCUAUGUAUACUAUAUAUGUCGGCAUGUUGUCGCCUUCCUGUUUUUGCAAUGAUAAAUGAUGAUGCAUAAAGUGUUACAUACAAAUGUUGAAUGCUAAUUAGGGGCAGCUCAACCCUUUACGAGAAAAGGUGGCCGCCUAAGACCCCAAAAUUUGAGG